CUCUUUUAGAUUUCCCUUUUGUAUAUACCUUGCCUUUUGUAUCCUUGAUUCCUCUGCUCUUGCCUUUUUAUUGCCAAAAGUCUAUACGUUUUGCUCUAGUUCUCUCUGGUUCUCUCUUGGUUUCUCACGUGUUGUGCCAUUUUUGUAUUUGUUACCCUCUCUUUUUUACUGCCUUUUUGUGUGUGUUACUCUCCCCUUUUUU
RNAcentral lists this long non-coding RNA (202 nucleotides) under Lupinus angustifolius (narrow-leaved blue lupine). Its description in RNAcentral is "long non-coding RNA (LANG_LNC000659)". The record is from RNAcentral. Lineage: Eukaryota; Viridiplantae; Streptophyta; Magnoliopsida; Fabales; Fabaceae.